GCUUAACGCGAAGAACCUUACCCACACUUGACAUGCCUCUUUUGGCUUUCAGAGAUGAUUGCCUUCGGUUCGGCCGGGGAGGUGCACAGGUGCUGCAUGGCGUGUCGUCAGCUCGUGUCGUGAGAUGUUGGGUUAAGUCCGCAACGAGCGCAACCCUUACUCGUAUGUUGCCAGCAUUUAGUUGGGCACUCGUGCGAGACUGCCGGUGAUAAGCCGGAGGAAGGCGGGGACGGACGUCAAGUCAUCAUGGCCCUUACGUGUGGGCUAGAAACGUGCUACAAUGGGAGUGACAGUGAGCAGCAAGGUCGCGAGGCCAAGCUAAUCUCCAAAAGCUCUCUCAGUUCAGAUUGUAGUCUGCAACUCGACUACAUGAAGUUGGAAUCGCUAGUAAUCGCAAAUCAGCAUGUUGCGGUGAAUACGUUCCCGGGGUCUUGUACACACCGAGGUCGGUGGGGGA
RNAcentral lists this ribosomal RNA (457 nucleotides) under uncultured bacterium. Its description in RNAcentral is "bacterial SSU rRNA". It matches the Rfam family "Bacterial small subunit ribosomal RNA", at positions 954 to 1409 of the family's 1533-position model. The record is from RNAcentral.